CGAGAUAAAUCCAAACCUGCCGUAAGACAGGGACGGAAAGCUACGGAUCUACAAAGAUAGCCGAGCUGCCAUGA
RNAcentral lists this non-coding RNA (74 nucleotides) under unclassified sequences. RNAcentral's name for it is "c-di-GMP sequence". It matches the Rfam family "c-di-GMP-I-GGC riboswitch aptamer". The record is from RNAcentral.